GGAGGCUUUAUAAUUAUUAGGUCCUAAAUAUACAUCUAUUAUAAAAUAAAGAGAGGGUUCUAAAGAGAAGAUAGGACCUUUAUUAAAAAUUGUAUAAGAUUCCAAUUACAUGGUGUCGUAAUAUGUGAAGUCUUGCUUGAGAAUGCUCCGGGCACCUGGCUGUGGAAGAAAGAAUGGAAAUUGCAAUAACAAAAUUUUAAUUCGAAUAGAAUACUAAAAAUAUUCUAAUUAGACCAUAAUAAUACUAAACAAGCUUAAUCAAAUUCAAUAAAACCUCAAAGAAAUUUCAAUCAAACAAUAAGAAUUCUUAAAGAAAUAUUAGAAAGAACACAAAUAUCACUCAAAUACAUCUCAAUUCAAUCUUAAUUUAAUUCUAAUUAAAAUCCUAUUGAACUUCAUUCAAACUUUAGGCCAAAACUAAUUGAAUCUUAAAUCCUAAUAAAAUCCUAAACCCUAAAUCAAACCCUAAAAAAACCUUAAACCAAACCCCAACCAAAUCCUAAACCAAAUCCUAAUCAAACCCUAAACCAAUUCUAAACCCUAAAUGAAAUCCUAACCAAAUUCUAAUCUAAAUCCUAAAUCCUAAAUAAAACCCUAACCAAAUCCUAAAUCAAAUCCUAAUCCAAACCCUAAACCCUAAAACAAACCCUAACCAAAUCCUAAUCCGAAUCCUAAAUCCUAAAUCAAAACCUAAUCAAAUCUUAAACCCUAAAUCAAACCCUAAUCAAAUCCUAAAUCCUAAAUAAAAUCUUAAAAAAAUCCUAAAACAAAUCCUAAUCCAAAUCCUAAAUCCUAAACCAAAUCUUAAUCAAAUACUAAAUCCUAAAUCAAACC
RNAcentral lists this long non-coding RNA (834 nucleotides) under Physcomitrium patens. Its description in RNAcentral is "long non-coding RNA (PPAT_LNC014527)". The record is from RNAcentral. Lineage: Eukaryota; Viridiplantae; Streptophyta; Bryopsida; Funariales; Funariaceae.